CUCUCCAGUGUUCCUCCUGCCUGUCUCUCCUCCUCCUGCUUUCACCUAGCAGUUCCCCAGUCCCUGCUCUCCUCCUCCCAUCCUGCCCCUCCUCUCUGCUUAUCUAGCGUCUGUUCUUCUUUACUCUCCUCCCAUCCUUCCCUGUCUUUAUCAGGCUCUGAUCGCUCUUCCUUGGGCUCUCUCUCUGCCCCCUGUCAGGUCCUGUUUACUCGUCCUCGGGUUACAAGAAGGCAGACGAUGAGAUGUCCGGAGCAACGUCCAGUGCUGACCUGGGGGACACAGCUACCCGCAUCAUCCUUCUCAACCUGCCCCAGACCUGCAAGUUCAGGGACAACAGAGUCAG
Molecule: non-coding RNA, 343 nt
Organism: Pelobates cultripes (western spadefoot toad)
Lineage: Eukaryota; Metazoa; Chordata; Amphibia; Anura; Pelobatidae
Source: the annotation of a GenBank genome assembly